Molecule: long non-coding RNA, 250 nt
Organism: Etheostoma spectabile (orangethroat darter)
Lineage: Eukaryota; Metazoa; Chordata; Actinopteri; Perciformes; Percidae
Exons: 3
Source: RefSeq, a predicted model, not a curated record
ACUGUGCCACAUGUAUGAUUAACAUUAAAACAUGAUUUAUAAAACUAUGCCAACAAUUAUUAGGCUAUUUUAAUAGCCUAUGUAGACAAAGGUAUGAAGGCUUUAGGCCUCCCUACAUGUUACUGUAGGCCCAGUUUAAUAUGCAACUUCAUUUUCUAUAUAUGUAGCAGGGGGUCCCCAUUCUAUCACUCUUUCAGUUAGGGGGUCCUGGGCUUAAAAAACAUUGAAGACCCCUGCUGUAAACCAUCCA